Long non-coding RNA from Meriones unguiculatus (Mongolian gerbil), 2179 nucleotides. RefSeq lists it as uncharacterized. Lineage: Eukaryota; Metazoa; Chordata; Mammalia; Rodentia; Muridae. The transcript has 6 exons. The record is from RefSeq and is a predicted model, not a curated record.
UAUAGGUUUUCUAUUGUUUCCAUUGUUAUUGAACUCUAGCUUUAAUCCAUGAUGGUCUGAUAAAAUACAAGGUGUUAUUACAAAUUUCUUAUACUUGUUGAGGCUUGCUUUCUGACCAAGUUAAUGGGCAAUCUUGAAGAAGUUUCUGUGAUGUGCUGAGAAGAUGGUAUAUCCUUUUUUGUCUGGGUGAAAAUUCUGUAAAUAUCUGUUGAAUCCAUUUGAUUUGAUCAUUAGUUAGUUUGAUUGUUUCUCUAUCUAGUUUCUGUUUUCAUGAUUUGUCCUUUGGUUAGUGUGGUGUUUUGGAGUCUCCCACUAUUACUGUGGACAUAUAAGUGUAUUAUUUAAGCUUUAGUAAUGCUUCUUCUACAAAUGUAGGUGCCCUUGUGUUUGAAGCAAAAUAUUCAGAAUUGAAACAUCAUCUUGGUGGAUUUUUGAUAUGAUAUGUAUCCUUUUACUAUGAUAUGCAUCCUUUCCCAUAUCUUUUGAGUAAAUUCAGUUAAAAGUUUAUUUUUAUUAGAUAUCAGGAUGGCUUCUUUCAAUUUGCUUCUUGGGUCCAUUUCCUUGAAAAAGCUAUUUCCAGCCCUUCACUCUGAGGUAAUGUCCUCUUUUUUUGUUAAGAUGUGUUUCUUGUUUGCAGCAGUCCUACUUAUGCAUCUAUUCUGUUAGUCUGUGUUUGUUUUUUUUUUUUUUGAGGAAUUGAAUCCAUUAAUGUUGAGUGAUAUUAAUAACUAAUGUUUGCUAGUGCUGGUAAUUUUGAUUUUUAUGGUUGUAGUGAGUUUCUGUGUUUCUCUCCUUUUGGUUUUGCAGCAAUGGUGUUUUUUAUAUCUUAUUUGUUUUCUUGGGUGUGGUUAACUUUAUUUGCUUGGAGUUUUCCUUCUAGUGUACGUUAAAGCUGAGAAGCAUAGACAUUGGUGUUUUGGGGUCCACAGCACAGCCUCUUACUUGCUGUGGAGUCACUAGAGUCCUAGCACUCAGAAACCAUGUGGACUGGGCACCACCAUUUUGAAUCCUCUUCAAAUAUCCAUCUUUUAAAUGGAAAUAUUUUUUUUCUGGUGCUGGAGAAAGACACAGGACCUUUUUCCAACUAAGGACACGUUACACACUAUACUAUCUUCUCUCUCAUAAAUGAUAUUUCUACUUGUGUUUAGUAACUCUAGCAUUACUUCAAAGGGGAAUAAUUUUAAUCUUGCUAUACAACUGGGGAGACUCCUAAACAAACUAAGCACCUUUAAAAAGAAACCCAUAUCAGAGAGAGGGAAAAUGAAUUUCUCUUAAAGGUCAACCAGUAAUCUGUGUGGGCCACUCAUAUAAAAUUUUGUCUCUCUUCAGCUGCAUCCAUUUUUGAGGAAAAUUAAAGUGACAAAUGCUGCUGGAGAUGAAAUAAGCUUUGAUGAGAACAAGAAUGUCAUGGAAACAUAUGAUAUACAAAACUUUAUUGCAUAUAGUAAGCAAAAUUCAUUAAUACUUAAAGUGGGAGAAUUUGUCUUCAAGAGUCCACAAGACCAAGGCUUUUUCAUCAAUGAAGUUCUGAUUCAAUGGCCAAGCAAUUUUAAUCAGACUCCUCAAUCUGUAUGUACACAGAGCUGUGGCCCAGGAUUCUGGAAAGUUCUACAAGAAGAAAGACCCAUUUGCUGUUUUUCUUGUGUAUUUUGUCCGGAGUGGCACAUUUCCAACCAGACAGGUGAUUAUGGUAUGGUUCUGUCAGCCCUGGAACAUACCUUUAAUUCAAAAGCUUUCUGUGCACAGGAGUAAAUAAUGUUAACCCUUGGUCAAGAGGCAAAGCAAGAAGCCUGCUGACAAGGAUUAAAGAUGUCCAAAAGGGCUGGGCUGUGCCUGAACCCACAAGGGGACAUGAGGGACUGCAAGCCAUAACCCAUGUUUAUGAUCACCUCCAUUUUCCAAGAGACUUCCAGAGAAGAAGGACUCUCUGUAAAGGAGGUGGCUUUUUUGAUAUGAGAUUGAGAUUUUUGGAUUGUUCUUUAGCAAUUAGAUAAAGACAAUUUGUAUUCAUGUCUGUAGAAGGCAGAAGAGACGACAUGAAGGUGAUGAAGAAUUCAGUGACCUUCAAUGAUGUGCAUGUGAAAUUCAGCCAAGAAGAGUGGGCCUUGCUGGAACCUUCCCAGAAGCAACUCUACAAAGAUGUGAUGCUAGAGACCUGUGAAAACCUCACUGCUAUAGG